CCUACGAGAGGCAGCAGUGAGGAAUAUUGGUCAAUGGGCGCGAGCCUGAACCAGCCAAGUAGCAUGAAGGAUGACUGCCCUACGGGUUGUAAACUUCUUUUAUAAAGGAAUAAAGUGAGGCACGUGUGCCUUUUUGUAGGUACUUUAUGAAUAAGGAUCGGCUAACUCCGUGCCAGCAGCCGCGGUAAUACGGAGGAUCCGAGCGUUAUCCGGAUUUAUUGGGUUUAAAGGGAGCGUAGAUGGGUUGUUAAGUCAGUUGUGAAAGUUUGCGGCUCAACCGUAAAAUUGCAAUUGAUACUGGCAGUCUUGAGUACAGUUGAGGUAGGCGGAAUUCGUGGUGUAGCGGUGAAAUGCUUAGAUAUCACGAAGAACUCCGAUUGCGAGGGCAGCUUACUAAACUGCCACUGACAUUGAUGCUCGAAAGUGUGGGUAUCAAACAGGAUUAGAUACCCCAGUAGUC
Molecule: ribosomal RNA, 460 nt
Filed under: uncultured bacterium
Lineage: Bacteria
Description: partial 16S ribosomal RNA
Rfam family: Bacterial small subunit ribosomal RNA
Source: RNAcentral